This 501-nucleotide ribosomal RNA is filed under the name uncultured bacterium. RNAcentral's name for it is "bacterial SSU rRNA". It matches the Rfam family "Bacterial small subunit ribosomal RNA", at positions 791 to 1289 of the family's 1533-position model. The record is from RNAcentral.
UAGUCCACGCCGUAAACGAUGUCAACUAGCCGUUGGGAGCAUAUAAGCUCUGAGUGGCGCAGCUAACGCGAUAAGUUGACCGCCUGGGGAGUACGCCGGCAACGGUAAAACUCAAAGGAAUUGACGGGGGUCCGCACAAGCGGGGGAGCAUGUGGUUUAAUUCGAUGAUACGCGAGGAACCUUACCUGGGCUAGAAUGCUUUUGGACAGAUGCCGAAAGGUGUUUUUCUCUUCGGAGACCGAUUGCAAGGUGCUGCAUGGUUGUCGUCAGCUCGUGCCGUGAGGUGUUGGGUUAAGUCCCGCACCGAGCGCAACCCCUAUCCUUAGUUGCCAGCGAGUAAUGUCGGGGACUCUAGGGAAACUGCCUACGCAAGUAGUGAGGAAGGCGGGGAUGACGUCAAAUCAUCAUGGCCCUUACGCCCAGGGCUACACACAUGCUACAAUGGUUGAUACAGAGGGUAGCGACAUAGCGAUAUGAAGCCAAUCUCAAAAAGUCAAUCUC